Long non-coding RNA from Mauremys mutica (yellowpond turtle), 522 nucleotides. RefSeq lists it as uncharacterized. The record is from RefSeq and is a predicted model, not a curated record. The transcript has 3 exons. Lineage: Eukaryota; Metazoa; Chordata; Testudines; Geoemydidae.
GAAGGAGAAUAGCGCUUCAUGAAAGUGGCUUCCCAGUGCUAUAGCAGGGCUAAACAACUCUUUUGUUUGCAUUCAGAAGAUCAUUUCCUCUGGCACAACAAGACACAAAACUUUUAAAGACUUCAAACUAAAAAUGUCCAAGCCGGUGCACGUGGACAGGAGGAGCGCCAUGUGAUCCCUCACCCGCGACUGGGAGGUGCCCCUGACAAGCCAGUCCAGAUAGGGGAAUAACUGGCCACCGCCAUCUGAGAUAGGCCGCUACCACCGACACCCUGGUGGCAGUGGACAGACCAAAUGGAAGGACCUUGAAUUGAGCUUUCCCAUCAAACGGGAGAUCCUGGAUGGAAGACUGCGCUUCGCUGGACAGCCCGGAGAGUAGGAGUCACGAUGCCCAUCUCAUGGACACCGCAGAGGCCACUGAUCGUGCGGCCGUGUCCGCAGAAUCCGAAGCUGCCUGCAGGGACGCCCUAGCAGCCGCUGUGCCUUCCUCCACUAGCGCUUUAAACUCCUUCAUGUUGUGCU